RNAcentral lists this ribosomal RNA (492 nucleotides) under uncultured bacterium. RNAcentral describes it as "partial 16S ribosomal RNA". It matches the Rfam family "Bacterial small subunit ribosomal RNA", at positions 29 to 507 of the family's 1533-position model. The record is from RNAcentral.
AGUGAACGCUGGCGGUAGGCCUAACACAUGCAAGUCGAACGGCAGCACAGUAAGAGCUUGCUCUUACGGGUGGCGAGUGGCGGACGGGUGAGGAAUACAUCGGAAUCUACUUUUUCGUGGGGGAUAACGUAGGGAAACUUACGCUAAUACCGCAUACGACCUACGGGGGAAAGCAGGGGAUCUUCGGACCUUGCGCGAUUGAAUGAGCCGAUGUCGGAUUAGCUAGUUGGCGGGGUAAAGGCCCACCAAGGCGACGAUCCGUAGCUGGUCUGAGAGGAUGAUCAGCCACACUGGAACUGAGACACGGUCCAGACUCCUACGGGAGGCAGCAGUGGGGAAUAUUGGACAAUGGGCGCAAGCCUGAUCCAGCCAUGCCGCGUGGGUGAAGAAGGCCUUCGGGUUGUAAAGCCCUUUUGUUGGGAAAGAAAAGCAGCAGGUUAAUACCCCGCUGUUCUGACGGUACCCAAAGAAUAAGCACCGGCUAACUUCGUG